This 1228-nucleotide long non-coding RNA is filed under the name Dicentrarchus labrax (European seabass). Its description in RNAcentral is "lncRNA (ENSDLAG00005031231.1)". Lineage: Eukaryota; Metazoa; Chordata; Actinopteri; Moronidae. The record is from RNAcentral.
AUGAUCCACGGAGACCUCGCCGAAGCUGUAAUGAAGUCCAAACACUUCUUCACUGACAAAGAAUGGAGAAGAACAAAAUUAAACUUAAAGAGAAUGAGCAGACUUUACUCAUCAUCUAGUGCAGUAUUUCUCAAACUUUUUACACUGCGUACCAACUCAUUAGGCUCGCCACGUACCGUUAUGACCAACGUUGGCCGACUCUUUAACUACGGACAGCUCCUGUAAAGAGUAUUCCCUGCUGAAAAUCUCGACCUACCCUCUUCAAGAGGUCUCAACUGCAGAUGCUGGUUUGAAAAUAUUAAGCUGCAUCUCUACUUCAUUCAUAUUCAUAAACGGACCUUCAUUCUCUCAACAAGGACCAGUAAUCUAUCAGAUUUUAGGCCUAUGCAAUCUAUACCUGCUAUAUUUUCACUGUAGUAGAAGUAGUAGAACAAAAAUUUUGACACAAGUAGAUUCUGCACAAUCUUUUUGAUACAUUCACAAGCUUUUGGUCAUAUACCUUCUUCAUAAUAUACUCUGUACAGCUAACAAACUUGAUGCCCAGAAAUCUGAGGGAAGAGAUGGGAUGUAAAUGUUUAUAUUUAUUUAGAAUAUUUUACUUGGAUGUAAAAAAUUGUCUUUUUAUUCUGCUUUGCAUGUAGCUUCCCUCUUUUAUGUUGGUUUGCAGUUUUCUGGCCAGAUUUUCUCUUACAGUUUGAGCAGUUCCACAGUCCAGUUUCCCACAUGAUGUGCAGAAAGACUGGUUAAAGCUGCAGCAGGUCAUUUUUUAUAAAACUAACUUUUUGUCAUUUUUGUUGAAACUUUCCCUAUAUCCUGACAGUAGUACAUGAGACAGAUAAUCUGUGAAACAAUCUGGUUCUUCUGGCCUAUUCUAGUACGCCUAAUAGUUUUUGCAAGAAGAAAAACCACCAAUCAGAGCUGAGAAAGAUAUAGCGAUGCGUUGGGUUGGAAGCUUGAAGAUAGUUGAUUGUUGAAUCUCAUUCCCAGGGUCCCAAAGCAUCUGUAUUUGACGCCCUCGGAAUUAAACUCAACUUUCUUGGCUCUGACUGGUUGUCAUUCUGGCCCGAUGCAUUCUUGCAGAUGUCAUUAGGAGCACUAGGAUGAGCCAGAGGAACCUGAUCUCUCAUGUAUUACUGUCAGGAUACAGUAAGGUUCAGCAAGUAUGAAUUAACUACUGCAGCUUUAAAAUGGGUAUAUUAAGAAAAACUAACUUCAAUGCCAAUUUCAG